This 75-nucleotide non-coding RNA is filed under the name Ensete ventricosum. RNAcentral describes it as "tRNA". It matches the Rfam family "tRNA". Rfam says of the family: Transfer RNA (tRNA) molecules are approximately 80 nucleotides in length. The record is from Rfam by way of RNAcentral. RNAcentral also lists the same sequence under 6 other names. Lineage: Eukaryota; Viridiplantae; Streptophyta; Magnoliopsida; Zingiberales; Musaceae.
GCUUAGGUAGCUCAGCAUGGUUAGAGCAAAGGACUGAAAAUCCUUGUGUCAGUGGUUCGAAUCCACUUCUAAGCG